This 28-nucleotide non-coding RNA is filed under the name Bombyx mori (domestic silkworm). Lineage: Eukaryota; Metazoa; Arthropoda; Insecta; Lepidoptera; Bombycidae. The record is from RNAcentral.
UACAGUAGACAGUCUGAUUUUGAUGCCC